UAGACAUCAUGAGCAAAGCACACCCUCCCAAGUUGAAGAAAUUUAUGGAAAUGAAGUUAUCACUGAAAUUAAAUGGUGGCAGACAUGUCCAAGGAAUAUUGCGGGGAUUUGAUCCCUUUAUGAAUCUUGUGAUAGAUGAAUGUGUGGAGAUGGCAACUAGUGGGCAACAGAACAAUAUUGGAAUGGUGGUAAUACGAGGAAAUAGUAUCAUGAUGUUAGAAGCCUUGGAACGAGUAUGAACAACAGCUGUGUUCACCAGAGAAAUCAACUGCUUCCAUGUGUCUCCUUCUCCACAUUUUACUAUCAGAAAAAUUGGGUUGUGUACAUUUUCUUAUUGAACUUUUUUGUUAAAUAAACUUUUGUAAUAG
Odocoileus virginianus texanus is the source of this 368-nucleotide non-coding RNA. Lineage: Eukaryota; Metazoa; Chordata; Mammalia; Artiodactyla; Cervidae. The record is from RefSeq and is a predicted model, not a curated record.